AGCUUCGCGCAGUGGCAGUAUCGUAGCCAAUGGGUUUAGCUGAGGCGCGAUUAUUGCUAAUUGG
RNAcentral lists this small nuclear RNA (64 nucleotides) under Ailuropoda melanoleuca (giant panda). RNAcentral's name for it is "U4 spliceosomal RNA". It matches the Rfam family "U4 spliceosomal RNA", at positions 1 to 65 of the family's 138-position model. Rfam says of the family: U4 small nuclear RNA (U4 snRNA) is a component of the major U2-dependent spliceosome. The structure of U4 snRNA from yeast and human has been reported. The record is from Rfam by way of RNAcentral. Lineage: Eukaryota; Metazoa; Chordata; Mammalia; Carnivora; Ursidae.